GCAGCCACGCCGACACCAUGCCAACGGUCUGAGUGAGUUUGAUCGUGACUUCUGCCUCUCUGCAAAAUGACAUUGCAGUUGUUUCUUAAAGAUAAAGGAAAGGCUCGCGGCAUAGGGCACUAUGUGGGGUUCUGUGUUUGGGCUGUGAUCUGCGUGGUGUUAAUGCCACCCCUGAACCUUCCCGGGGAGCUGCAUCCUUUCCGAUGCUUUGAGCCCCUGGGAGGUGAUCAGCAAGCAGCCUUCAGUCCUUCCAAAAUGACAAGCCUCACCAUCUGUACAGGUGGACGGUACAAAUGCUGAGGUCUUUUGACCUUAGAAACAGUGCAGAAAAGUUUCCAGUGCCCUUUUCUCUCUGAUAGAGCUGCAGCAAUUCCUGUCACAAUCAGUUACACCGGAAGAACUCAGUUAAUUUUGGCGCUGAUAGAAAAAGAAGAAAGCCCUCCUGUAAAUCCUGGUUCUAAACCUACUGCUUAGCCCUGCUAACUCCUGUGCCCGCGAAUAAUGUUACAGCUUGUUCAAGAUCCCUUGGCGCAGCCACCUGGAGAGAAAACCCAACUGCUAGGGCUUGCAUGGAGCCGGAGCAACUGACUGCAGGAAAAAAAGUCCAAUUGCUGUCUGCAGUGAGUCUGCAGUCUCACAUCUCGGUCUGGGUAGGAAACAAUUUGAGAUUUCAGAAAUUUCUGUUUCAAAGGAAGGCCUUUUGAUGUGUCUUUUUGGUUGAUGAUUAAAAGCAAUUAGAUGGUACUCAAAACACUUGGAUGGGACUUUAGUCUGCCAUAUGGCAGGCGUGUCCUAACAUCUAGGCAGCUGCAGGGAUAAAACAGUCUUUCUUGAGAUUAGCAUUAAAUACAUUAUGCAAGGGAGAGGCUUUAAAAUUUUUCUUCCAUACCCAGUGGGACUGUAUACAAAACACGUCCAAGAAGUCAGAUUGAGACACAACCCCGCAAAUGUGAGUGUGGAACACUCAUGAAAGUGGAGAUCCUGGUGUCGGUCCCAGAUCCAAAGCAGGAACCACUGCCCAAGGCAACGUUGGGCCAAGUUUGAUUUGGCACUGACAAAACCAACUCCAUGGGCUCCCGCCUCAGGCACUUGAACCAGUACUCCAGACUGCCUGAGCCCUGAAGCCAU
Gallus gallus (chicken) is the source of this 1128-nucleotide long non-coding RNA. Lineage: Eukaryota; Metazoa; Chordata; Aves; Galliformes; Phasianidae. The record is from Ensembl.